Molecule: long non-coding RNA, 295 nt
Filed under: Gossypium raimondii (Peruvian cotton)
Lineage: Eukaryota; Viridiplantae; Streptophyta; Magnoliopsida; Malvales; Malvaceae
Description: long non-coding RNA (GRAI_LNC007323)
Source: RNAcentral
UUUGUUCUUUCUAGCCUCUGCCGAUUUGCUCCCUCCGUUUCUUUUCUUUUAUUUUCUGCCCUCUGUUUAUUUUCUUUUCUUUUCUACCGAUUUGCUCCCUUUGUUUCUUCUCAUUUUCUUUUCUGCCGAUUUCCGAGUUAGUGCAACUGAAAGGUAGGUUUCUAACUCUCUGUCAACCUUGUUACUGUCUUUUGUUUUUUCUGCAUGUAAGCAGAUUCGAAACAUGUUAAAUCUACUGUCUAUAAACUUUAGCCUUUAUUCUUAACUACUUUGAGUGGAUUAAACAUGUUUUGUU